UNUGGUGNNNNNNGUGGUUUAAUUCGAUGCAACGCGAAGAACCUUACCUACUCUUGACAUCCACAGAAUUCGGCAGAGAUGCCUUAGUGCCUUCGGGAACUGUGAGACAGGUGCUGCAUGGCUGUCGUCAGCUCGUGUUGUGAAAUGUUGGGUUAAGUCCCGCAACGAGCGCAACCCUUAUCCUUUGUUGCCAGCACGUAAUGGUGGGAACUCAAAGGAGACUGCCGGUGAUAAACCGGAGGAAGGUGGGGAUGACGUCAAGUCAUCAUGGCCCUUACGAGUAGGGCUACACACGUGCUACAAUGGCGUAUACAAAGAGAAGCGAACUCGCGAGAGCCAGCGGACCUCAUAAAGUACGUCGUAGUCCGGAUCGGAGUCUGCAACUCGACUCCGNGAAGUCGGAAUCGC
This 408-nucleotide ribosomal RNA is filed under the name Serratia sp. AZTITEMP192. Its description in RNAcentral is "bacterial SSU rRNA". It matches the Rfam family "Bacterial small subunit ribosomal RNA", at positions 931 to 1333 of the family's 1533-position model. The record is from RNAcentral. Lineage: Bacteria; Pseudomonadati; Pseudomonadota; Gammaproteobacteria; Enterobacterales; Yersiniaceae.